UUUUUUGUUUGUUUUUACAUUUCCU
RNAcentral lists this small RNA (25 nucleotides) under Arabidopsis thaliana (thale cress). RNAcentral describes it as "ATSL135040". Lineage: Eukaryota; Viridiplantae; Streptophyta; Magnoliopsida; Brassicales; Brassicaceae. The record is from RNAcentral.